Molecule: ribosomal RNA, 413 nt
Filed under: uncultured bacterium
Lineage: Bacteria
Description: bacterial SSU rRNA
Rfam family: Bacterial small subunit ribosomal RNA
Source: RNAcentral
GAUGAACGCUAGCUACAGGCUUAACACAUGCAAGUCGAGGGGAAACGAUAUUGGAAGCUUGCUUCCGAUAGGCGUCGACCGGCGCACGGGUGAGUAACGCGUAUCCAACCUGCCCAUCACUUGGGAAUAACCUUGCGAAAGUAAGACUAAGUGCCCAAUGACAUUUAUAGAAGGCAUCUGAAAUGAAUUAAAGAUUUAUCGGUGAUGGAUGGGGAUGCGUCUGAUUAGCUUGUUGGCGGGUAAUGGCCCACCAAGGCAACGAUCAGUAGGGGUUCUGAGAGGAAGGUCCCCCACAUUGGAACUGGAGACACGGUCCAAACGUCCUACGGGAGGCAGCAGUGAGGAAUAUUGGUCAAUGGGCGAGGAGCCUGAACCAGCCAAGUAGCGUGCAGGAUGACGGCCCGUAGUGGGUU